CUUGAAUAGUUUAUUUAGAAUAAUAAUUUGUGGUGUUGUAGGUGUAAUAAUUUACUUCAAGUC
Molecule: transfer RNA, 63 nt
Filed under: Chorosoma macilentum
Lineage: Eukaryota; Metazoa; Arthropoda; Insecta; Hemiptera; Rhopalidae
Description: tRNA-His
Source: RNAcentral